AACUAUAUGUUACAAUAUAUAGCAGUUUCUGCUCAAUGGAAUACUAAAUAGCCGCAGUACCCUGACUGUGCAAAGGUAGCAUAAUAAGUUGGCUUAUAAUUGAAGUCUAGAAUGAAUGAUAUUUCGGAAAGAAACUGUCUUAUAUAUAAUAACCUAAAUUAGUAAAUAAGUGCAAAUACUUGUUAAUUUAAAAAGGACGAGAAGACCCUAGAAACUUUUAAGAAAUUUUUGUUGGGGCGACAGGAUUGCAAUGAACCAGUUUUGAAGCACGUGACGUUAUGCUGAAAGAUCAAGUUACUCUAGGGAUAACAGCAUAAUUUUUAAUAGUUUGUGACCUCGAUGUUGGACUAGGUACAGUAUAUUUUAGAAGAAUAUUCUGCCUGCUCUGUUCGAGCAGCUUCACCUACAU
Molecule: ribosomal RNA, 409 nt
Filed under: Chilostoma albanograeca
Lineage: Eukaryota; Metazoa; Mollusca; Gastropoda; Stylommatophora; Helicidae
Description: partial 16S ribosomal RNA
Rfam family: Bacterial large subunit ribosomal RNA
Source: RNAcentral